This 362-nucleotide unclassified non-coding RNA is filed under the name fungal sp. RNAcentral describes it as "partial internal transcribed spacer region". The stretch from base 1 to 46 matches the Rfam family "Eukaryotic small subunit ribosomal RNA", at positions 1786 to 1831 of the family's 1831-position model. The record is from RNAcentral. Lineage: Eukaryota; Fungi.
AAGUCGUAACAAGGUAUCCGUAGGUGAACCUGCGGAUGGAUCAUUAUCGUAUCCAAUACACAAUACCAACCAAAACGUGAACUGUUAACCUUUUAUAUGUAAAUUGCCAAUCGAUUCGCUUCGGCGUUUUGAUCGCUCUCUUGGAAUUGAAAGAGUGAGAUUCGAGUCAAAUCGAGUCGGCAGUUGAUAUGAAAGCGUAUUUUAUUUCAAUUCUAAUCAUCUAUUAACCAAUUGAACCAUAACUAAAACGUUAUUCUUUGUAUUGAUCUGAAUUGUUUCUUACUGCGUGCCUAAACCGUAUGUAGAAGAAAUCGAUUUACGAAAUAUAAGAACAACUCUUAGCAACGGAUAUCUUGGUUCUC